Molecule: ribosomal RNA, 468 nt
Filed under: uncultured bacterium
Lineage: Bacteria
Description: partial 16S ribosomal RNA
Rfam family: Bacterial small subunit ribosomal RNA
Source: RNAcentral
GACGAACGCUGGCGGCGUGCUUAACACAUGCAAGUCGAACGGAAAGGCCCUGCUUUUGUGGGGUGCUCGAGUGGCGAACGGGUGAGUAACACGUGAGUAACCUGCCCUUGACUUUGGGAUAACUUCAGGAAACUGGGGCUAAUACCGGAUAGGAGCUCCGGCUGCAGGGUGGGGGUGGGAAAGUUUCGGCGGUUGGGGAUGGACUCGCGGCUUAUCAGCUUGUUGGUGGGGUAGUGGCUUACCAAGGCUUUGACGGGUAGCCGGCCUGAGAGGGUGACCGGCCACAUUGGGACUGAGAUACGGCCCAGACUCCUACGGGAGGCAGCAGUGGGGAAUAUUGCACAAUGGGCGGAAGCCUGAUGCAGCAACGCCGCGUGCGGGAUGACGGCCUUCGGGUUGUAAACCGCUUUCGCCUGUGACGAAGCGUGAGUGACGGUAAUGGGUAAAGAAGCACCGGCUAACUACGUG